Molecule: ribosomal RNA, 250 nt
Filed under: uncultured bacterium
Lineage: Bacteria
Description: partial 16S ribosomal RNA
Rfam family: Bacterial small subunit ribosomal RNA
Source: RNAcentral
GACGAACCAUGCGAACGUUAUUCGGAAUUACUGGGCUUAAAGCGUGCGUAGGCGGUCCCGAAAGUUGGGUGUGAAAUCCCCCGGCUCAACCGGGGAAUGGCGCCCAAAACUACGGGACUCGAGGGAGAUAGAGGUGGGCGGAACUUAGGGUGGAGCGGUGAAAUGCGUUGAUAUCCUAAGGAACACCAGAGGCGAAAGCGGCCCACUGGGUCUUUUCUGACGCUGAGGCACGAAAGCUAGGGGAGCGAAC